This 395-nucleotide ribosomal RNA is filed under the name uncultured bacterium. Its description in RNAcentral is "bacterial SSU rRNA". It matches the Rfam family "Bacterial small subunit ribosomal RNA", at positions 355 to 767 of the family's 1533-position model. The record is from RNAcentral.
UCGGGAAUUUUGGGCAAUGGGCGAAAGCCUGACCCAGCAACGCCGCGUGAGGGAUGAAGUAUUUCGGUAUGUAAACCUCGAAAGAAUGGGAAGAAUAAAUGACGGUACCAUUUAUAAGCUCCGGCUAACUACGUGACAGCAGCCGCGGUAAUACGUAGGGAGCAAGCGUUGUUCGGAUUUACUGGGCGUAAAGGGCGCGUAGGCGGCGCGGUAAGUCACUUGUGAAAUCUCUGAGCUUAACUCAGAACGGCCAAGUGAUACUGCUGUGCUAGAGUGCGGAAGAGGCAACCGGAAUUCUUGGUGUAGCGGUGAAAUGCGUAGAUAUCAAGAGGAACACCUGAGGCGAAGGCGGGUUGCUGGGCCGACACUGACGCUGAUGCGCGAAAGCCAGGGGA